Molecule: long non-coding RNA, 261 nt
Filed under: Elaeis guineensis (African oil palm)
Lineage: Eukaryota; Viridiplantae; Streptophyta; Magnoliopsida; Arecales; Arecaceae
Description: long non-coding RNA (EGUI_LNC066577)
Source: RNAcentral
CCUUUGGCAUUUGAUAAGCAUCCAGAUAAGUCUGAAAAAAUUCCAAAAAAUUAUCCUUAAAAAACUAUAUUUAAAAUGGAACAUUAUCAAAUAAAGGCAUUCCAUUUUAAUCAAGUUUGAUCAGGAGAAGGAUUCUUUAAAAUGAUAGAAAAUAUGAUGCUUUAACGUGUGCAUGCGAGAGGUCCUCCAUUUUCCAAUUUUUUCUCCACCCCAUAUUAAUCUAGAAAAAUCCAUCUCAUGCUUUGAGAUGUGCACCAGAGG